CGGGACGUAGCGUAGCUUGGUAGCGCGUCUGAAUGGGGUUCAGAAGGUCGUGAGUUCAAAUCUCACCGUCCCGACCA
Molecule: transfer RNA, 77 nt
Filed under: Pedosphaera parvula Ellin514
Lineage: Bacteria; Pseudomonadati; Verrucomicrobiota; Pedosphaerae; Pedosphaerales; Pedosphaeraceae
Also listed under: 12 other names
Description: tRNA-Pro
Rfam family: tRNA
About the family: Transfer RNA (tRNA) molecules are approximately 80 nucleotides in length. Their secondary structure includes four short double-helical elements and three loops (D, anti-codon, and T loops).
Source: RNAcentral